RNAcentral lists this ribosomal RNA (213 nucleotides) under uncultured Actinomycetales bacterium. Its description in RNAcentral is "partial 16S ribosomal RNA". It matches the Rfam family "Bacterial small subunit ribosomal RNA", at positions 591 to 802 of the family's 1533-position model. The record is from RNAcentral. Lineage: Bacteria; Bacillati; Actinomycetota; Actinomycetes; Actinomycetales.
UCUGUGAAAUUCCGGGGCUUAACUCCGGGCGUGCAGGCGAUACGGGCAUAACUUGAGUACUGUAGGGGUAACUGGAAUUCCUGGUGUAGCGGUGAAAUGCGCAGAUAUCAGGAGGAACACCGAUGGCGAAGGCAGGUUACUGGGCAGUUACUGACGCUGAGGAGCGAAAGCAUGGGUAGCGAACAGGAUUAGAUACCCUGGUAGUCAAGGGCG